This is a non-coding RNA of Myodes glareolus (Bank vole), 1454 nucleotides long. Lineage: Eukaryota; Metazoa; Chordata; Mammalia; Rodentia; Cricetidae. The record is from RefSeq and is a predicted model, not a curated record.
CUCAAUGGCAGUUGUUUCUGGGGAGAACUGGGAAGGGAAACCCGCUUUGAGCCUACUGAAAGGGGAGGUGAGGUUCCAGAGAGUUCUGUUUUAGAACUCGCCCUUCGCUUCUCAAAUUCUGUAUCUCUUUCGGUGUAUGCCAAAGCUGUAGGGGAACAGCUCUCCCCGGAGUUCUCCAGGCCCCAGAUUCCCUUCAGUAAGGUAGGAUACUUCGCCUGUGAGUAUCACUUCUGAAUCUUGGCUUUCUACAUUACAUUUCUGUUUCCCAGUUCCAGGCCGUACACUUCUGCACACCCACACAUACACAUCCGUUGGCUACACGAAAGAGGAAGAUGGGGGGAGGGUGCAGACCUUGAGGUCAGAGUUAUAUAGAGUCUUCAAUAUAAGCCCAGGAUUGCUGUCAAGGGUAUGGCGACAGGGUGUAGCAGCAAAGCCUGGACGCCACCUGACUCCCUCUUCUUUGCAAGAAAAUAGAAGGAAGCAGGGAGUGGGUGGGUAGUGAAGACUCUGAAUUCUCCCUGGUCUGAACCCCCUCCUCCUGCUUCCUUUGGGCUCCCUGCUGCGCACAAGCCGAGAGGUCAUAGUUAUGGGCCGGCCUUGAGCCAGUGUGAGGCCUACAGCAGCAUGUAUCCAAUAGAAGUCAGCUGCGGGGCUUUCAGAUCAAGAAAUGCACCCGCUAGUGGAUAAACAGGCUGGACUCGAGUGCCUCCCUGACGACCUGUAUUACACUUCCCCACCAUCUUCCGCCUUCAGCCUGGUUCUGUAAGCAUCCAUCAGCAACAAGGAGAGACUCGUCUCCGGAAACCUCCUUUCUCAUUUCAGCUCACCUAGUCACCUACUCCAGAGCUUUUCUGGAGUACCGUGUACAACGGCAGUCCAGAUCUUCGAGGCAAACUCAACGGAAAGCGUGUACUUAUGUGACGUGUAGUUCCUGUUCUCUAGGAAGGAGUCCAGAGUCGAAGAACAAAAUUCAUCAUUUUUUUCACUGCUAAUGUUCUUUCCUAAAAUAAUCUGAUAGUUAAAAAUCACUCUAUUAAAUAUUUUUCUUUCCUUAUGCUUGAUUAGAUUGAAUUUCUGUAGAUGAAUUAAAAAGCUAGGUUAAAAAAUAUUAUGUAAGCGCUAAGACAAGCGAAGAAUUGGGAGCACCUGGGGACAGUUUCUGGAGCUGGGUGUUUGUCUCUCUGAGUAGUCAACGCUGAAUUCAAUUGGACUUUGUUUAAUGUUUUACAUUACAUCAAGAAAAAGAAACCCCAAAAAGCAUUUAAUGUGUUCUUUAAAUAUUCUGUUUCUUCUGUGUUGAGUAGAACUAGAAAAGUUUUAAAGAGGCUAUCCGGGAACUACACAGCAGUAACAUCCAGAAUGAUAAUAUUUAAUGACCUUAAAAAUAAGAAUCACAUCGUUUUACUCACUAGAAGAAAGUAAAUACAAAAUAGAAACAUUGUGGUUAUGUCCAA